CAGUAGCCGCGGGAAUACGUAGGUCCCGAGCGUUGCCCGGAUUUAUUGGGCGUAAAGCGAGCGCAGGCGGUUAGAUAAGUCUGAUGUGAAAGCCCACGGCUCAACCGUGGAGGGUCAUUGGAAACUGUUAAACUUGAGUGCAGGAGAGAAAAGUGGAAUUCCUAGUGUAGCGGUGAAAUGCGUAGAGAUUAGGAGGAACACCAGUGGCGAAGGCGGCUUUUUGGCCUGUAACUGACACUGAGGCGCGAAAGCGUGGGGAGCAAACAGGAUUAGAUACCCGAGUAGUCCCUGUCUCUUAUAC
Molecule: ribosomal RNA, 301 nt
Filed under: uncultured bacterium
Lineage: Bacteria
Description: partial 16S ribosomal RNA
Rfam family: Bacterial small subunit ribosomal RNA
Source: RNAcentral